CCUACGGGGUGCAGCAGUGAGGAAUAUUGGUCAAUGGACGAGAGUCUGAACCAGCCAAGUAGCGUGAAGGAUGACUGCCCUAUGGGUUGUAAACUUCUUUUAUAUGGGAAUAAAAUGUUCCACGUGUGGGAUUUUGUAUGUACCAUAUGAAUAAGGAUCGGCUAACUCCGUGCCAGCAGCCGCGGUAAUACGGAGGAUCCGAGCGUUAUCCGGAUUUAUUGGGUUUAAAGGGAGCGUAGGUGGAUUGUUAAGUCAGUUGUGAAAGUUUGCGGCUCAACCGUAAAAUUGCAGUUGAAACUGGCAGUCUUGAGUACAGUAGAGGUGGGUGGAAUUCGUGGUGUAGCGGUGAAAUGCUUAGAUAUCACGAAGAACUCCGAUUGCGAAGGCAGUUCACUGGACUGCAACUGACACUGAGGCUCGAAAGUGUGGGUAUCAAACAGGAUUAGAUACCCUUGUAGUC
This 460-nucleotide ribosomal RNA is filed under the name uncultured bacterium. RNAcentral's name for it is "partial 16S ribosomal RNA". It matches the Rfam family "Bacterial small subunit ribosomal RNA", at positions 338 to 795 of the family's 1533-position model. The record is from RNAcentral.